RNAcentral lists this long non-coding RNA (215 nucleotides) under Elaeis guineensis (African oil palm). Its description in RNAcentral is "long non-coding RNA (EGUI_LNC062341)". The record is from RNAcentral. Lineage: Eukaryota; Viridiplantae; Streptophyta; Magnoliopsida; Arecales; Arecaceae.
ACUCAUCAGUAAAUCGAAUACUAUUCUGUGACUGUCUCAUGAAUAGUGGUCUCAUAUCCUCCAGUCUCUCUCUGAUCAUUAGAUCCAUGACUGCUACCAUCACUCUCACUGUCGCUGGUCUCUGAAUCUGAGUCAACUGACUCCUGCACUCUCGAGGAUGCUGCAACUGCCAUUCCUUUUACUUUGCCUUUUUUAGCUCCCUCAGUACCCCUAUG